RNAcentral lists this small RNA (66 nucleotides) under Escherichia coli. RNAcentral's name for it is "RtT RNA". It matches the Rfam family "RtT RNA", at positions 33 to 96 of the family's 130-position model. From Rfam's summary of the family: This family represents a bacterial cis-regulatory element known as RtT RNA. The exact function of RtT is unknown although it is thought that it may be involved in changing the cellular response in relation to amino acid starvation. Lineage: Bacteria; Pseudomonadati; Pseudomonadota; Gammaproteobacteria; Enterobacterales; Enterobacteriaceae. The record is from RNAcentral.
CGACCAAGGUUCGACUCGAGCGCCAGCGAGAGAGCGUUGCCGCAGGCAACGACCCGAAGGGCGAAG